CUACGGGUGGCAGCAGUGGGGAAUAUUGGACAAUGGGCGAAAGCCUGAUCCAGCCAUGCCGCGUGUGUGAAGAAGGCCUUCGGGUUGUAAAGCACUUUCAGUGGGGAAGAAAGCCUUGGGGCUAAUACCCUCGAGGAAGGACAUCACCCACAGAAGAAGCACCGGCUAACUCCGUGCCAGCAGCCGCGGUAAUACGGAGGGUGCGAGCGUUAAUCGGAAUUACUGGGCGUAAAGCGCGCGUAGGCGGUCUGAUAAGCCGGUUGUGAAAGCCCCGGGCUCAACCUGGGAACGGCAUCCGGAACUGUCAGGCUAGAGUGCAGGAGAGGAAGGUAGAAUUCCCGGUGUAGCAGUGAAAUGCGUAGAGAUCGGGAGGAAUACCAGUGGCGAAGGCGGCCUUCUGGACUGACACUGACGCUGAGGUGCGAAAGCGUGGGUAGCAAACAGGAUUAGAUACCCGAGUAGUC
RNAcentral lists this ribosomal RNA (464 nucleotides) under Vreelandella stevensii. RNAcentral describes it as "partial 16S ribosomal RNA". It matches the Rfam family "Bacterial small subunit ribosomal RNA", at positions 339 to 795 of the family's 1533-position model. Lineage: Bacteria; Pseudomonadati; Pseudomonadota; Gammaproteobacteria; Oceanospirillales; Halomonadaceae. The record is from RNAcentral.